GAGCUGUCUUUCCACAUUAGAAACCAAUCGAGAGCAUAAAAAAAAAGAGAGAGAGAGCUUUUCUAAAGAUAGUCAUCCCGCAUUGACAGAGUGAAAAGUGUAAGUGUCCUCAGCAUGCCUGUAGACAGCACUUCUGAACUUCUCAAGCACUAUGAGGUUUAUGAAACCAUUGGCUCAGGUGGGUUUGCCAAAGUCAAACUUGGUAGACACAUACUGACAGGAGAGAAAGUGGCCAUCAAAAUAAUGGAAAAGAAAGACCUAGGGGUA
Sinocyclocheilus rhinocerous is the source of this 267-nucleotide long non-coding RNA. RefSeq lists it as uncharacterized. The record is from RefSeq and is a predicted model, not a curated record. The transcript has 3 exons. NCBI's taxonomy places the organism in Eukaryota, Metazoa, Chordata, Actinopteri, Cypriniformes, Cyprinidae.